Long non-coding RNA from Nicotiana attenuata, 509 nucleotides. RefSeq lists it as uncharacterized. The record is from RefSeq and is a predicted model, not a curated record. NCBI's taxonomy places the organism in Eukaryota, Viridiplantae, Streptophyta, Magnoliopsida, Solanales, Solanaceae. The transcript has 2 exons.
ACAAUUUGAGGAUGAGAAUGACAAGGCCACCUCUCAAUUUCUAUCUAAUUGUUUACUUUACUCUGUUUCUCGCUGAUAGUAAAUAUCAUCGGAUACUAUUUGUAUGUUUCUCUUUCACCCACUGAAUUAUGAUUUUCUUCGCUCUCUCCCAUUAAAACACUCUAAAAUAUCCCUCUGCUCCUCUCCCACUCAGUAGGAUAACCAGUGAACUGAAACAACACUCUUCUUAGGCGGCGAACUUGGUUCUCUUUCGCUACUGCUAGAUGCCUACCGAUAAAAAAACCAUUGCGCCAAGUUGGCUCUUCCAGAAGAGGAAGCGACAGUAUUCAGCAGAAAGAGCUUCUAAAAUCAAGCUCUGGAGACAUGAUGUGUAUGCAAAUCAGUCAGCUGAUAAAUAGUUUUAUUUGAAAGCAAUCGCAAGUCGCAACCAGUCUAAUGUUUCUAUUAUAGUAUAAUUUGAUAUUUGGAAGUUACCAAUGGAUUUAUAAUGCCAUAUUCCUCUCAACCUC